AGCAGGAGAUAAGGAGUACCGAUGGACGAAACUGAAAAAAAAAAAUGAGGUAUGUUUGCUCAGUUACACUUGUUUUAUGUUGAGAUUUCCAGUGCCUGUAUUGCUUUGGCAACAUUAAACCCUGAUUGAAGACUUACUAGGACAAUAUUUAGAAAUUAGAAGUCUUCUUUCCUGUGGGGGUUCCCCUUGAAUUUAAAAUCUUUAUUAUGGUUUCCAUGUUUCUUCAACAUGGGAAAAAUGGUUUUUUGGUGUUUGGAAAUUUGAUGUGCAAAUUAGGAGUGUGCACAAUUUUUACCUUCUCUCAAUUAAAUUGAAA
This 316-nucleotide unclassified non-coding RNA is filed under the name Hevea brasiliensis (rubber tree). Lineage: Eukaryota; Viridiplantae; Streptophyta; Magnoliopsida; Malpighiales; Euphorbiaceae. The record is from RNAcentral.